RNAcentral lists this non-coding RNA (30 nucleotides) under Mus musculus (house mouse). Lineage: Eukaryota; Metazoa; Chordata; Mammalia; Rodentia; Muridae. The record is from RNAcentral.
UAAUAAUGGACUGGGGUCUUGCUCCCGUGC